GAGAGACCCGGCAGACAGUCGAGAGUGUCCCACACUGAUGAGCAAUUCCAUUUUAUUCUGACUUGAGCUUCUGUUUUCUGUACGCAUGCUGACGCUUUGAAGAAGCGUUCUAGGGAACUUUAGCAGGAUGCCAAAAUUGCUCUUCAUCUCCGCCACCAGCAGCACUACUGUAUAGCCCAGUAGUUACCACGUUACAAGCCAGCGGAGAUGACCGACUCAGCUGACCUGCAGCAGAGAAUAAGGUUCCUCAGAGAUUCCAAGCGUGGGCCAUUUUGGCUACCAGCUGGUAUUACAGAUGAGAUGGGAUUAUGGACAUCCAACAAUCUUCACUAAGGGUUCUGCAAGGUCCAGUACCUGUAUACGACUAGAACAAGAUGAGAAACUGUGAUUUUCAGAGGAGGAGUUGUGUAUCUUUGGGGAACCAGUAAAACAAGCAUCUUCUCCAGAGUUGAAGGCCUUUGACCCAGAAACACCACAGCAAAGUCAUCCAUUUGAAUCAGCCUCAACCCCAACAAACAACACCAGCAGUAAGACUACACACCUAUUCCACUUCUGCCUGCCUUCUUUUGGAAAUUCUUUGCAUCAGUGUGAUUUUGAAAUAGUCGUGAAAUAUGGCGUUUUCAAAAAUCCAGCAGCAACUUGUCUUAAUAAUCUAUCAUACUCACUGUGGAUGUUUUCCAGUGGAAAUUUUCUUCUUUAGAAAUAUUAAUUCAUGUUUGAAGCAAUCCAGCAUUAACGUUUGAUACAAGGUGGGAUGUUAGCAUUAGCUUCCUGUAUCAGCAUUAUAUGUUUUGUACAUCUAUCUACCAGCUUCACCACAUUUUGACCUUUUUCUAAACUCUAAGAACAUCAUGCUUCUUGCUUCAGGCUUGAACAUCACAUGAACAACCUGUCGAUCUGUCGAGCCAAACUAACCCUGUCAUUAUUCUGGAACCAGUGUGUUUUUGAUUGCACUCCAGUAAAGCAACAAAAAUGUGCUAAAGUAUAGUGACUGAAUAAAACUGCUAUUGGUUUUCUCCUCACUUCAUAAGAAGAACUUGAAAGCACGUGGUUAUAAAUGGCAAGCAUGGUCUGUUUAUCAGCCUCUGUGUGUGUGUGUGUGUGUGUGUGUGUGUGUGUGUGUGUGUGUGUGUGUGCAGGGUGUCAAAGAUUUGUGUUGUCUUUCAUUCAGUAAAUUGUCUUUUAGAUGGCUUUAUUUUUCAAGCAUUUACAUGUAGAAGGUAGAAGGGAGCAGCUGCGGCCAGACAGGAAGUUAGUAUUAUGUAGAUCCACUGGGGGUUCAAGUCAUCUCCUGUUUACCCUUCCCUAGCAAAAAUGUUUGUGCUGUGCACUCCAUAUCUUUCACUCUCUUGUGUUUUAACACAUAUGCACCUCUUAACAUGAAGACACUGUCACAUUACAUUAUGGAAGCCUGUACAUGUUUUAUCCAUCUGUUUUGAAGUCAAAGGGACUUAAAGUGAUUAAAUCUGCUGUCUACUAUGUUUCUGUGCUCUUCUACAGUUAAUGUCCUGGUCCAUCCUCGCGGCCCAUGGUGCAGUGCUGCAUCUCUGGUCAGUUGGUAGUCUGAGAUGAAGCACUGUAGCUCGGGACGGAGGACAUACCAAUCUGACACAGUAUUUCCAGGAAUCCAGACUCCUUUAGUAGGUCAACAGGGCUCUGAUUUGCCUCAGACUAGGAGAAUAAAUAAGGAAGAAUGGAUCCUGUGAGAGGAGUACACUGCAGAUACUAAGAGGCAUCCUGCAGAUUUAAGAAGAGACUCAACCUUUCCGCAAAAAUUCAUAAUUUUUUCCAUUCAUGGUAAUGUCUUUUUUGGGAAAUAUACAGAAUGUAUUUAGAGGACAGAAAAAAAAAAACUGAAAAUUGUAGAAUUCAUCACAAAAUGAGAACAAAUCUGAAAAAGAAAGACUUUUACUUGCAUCUUCUCCUCUCUCCCGGGGUCCAGUUUUCCCAGGAAUCCCUUGAUCCUUCAGAAACGGGGAUUCCUGGAAAUACUGUUCUUGGGGGCGGGGCUUAUCAGCUAUUCAAUGUGCAUGAAAUCAUAAUUAUGUUUGAUGUGUGUAAUAAAGUUGACAGUUUAUACGGCUUUUGUGUUAAGACAAAAGAAAAACUAAAAUCCUUGUUCCAGUUCUCUUCUAGAUUUCAUGUCGUCUUCCUGUACAUGAGGUUUGAAUUGUUGCCUGCAUUGGAAAGAUUUUGCGAAUAUGAAAUUUACAGCUCAUUGGUAAAUAAACUUUGAAAACAAAGAAACGUUUGAA
This is a long non-coding RNA of Amphiprion ocellaris (clown anemonefish), 2255 nucleotides long. RefSeq lists it as uncharacterized. The transcript has 4 exons. The record is from RefSeq and is a predicted model, not a curated record. Lineage: Eukaryota; Metazoa; Chordata; Actinopteri; Pomacentridae.